This 2416-nucleotide long non-coding RNA is filed under the name Heterocephalus glaber (naked mole-rat). Its description in RNAcentral is "lncRNA (ENSHGLG00100033842.1)". The record is from RNAcentral. Lineage: Eukaryota; Metazoa; Chordata; Mammalia; Rodentia; Bathyergidae.
CUCCAAGGGAGGCAGGAGACCUGGAGAGCUAUGGUCAGAGGAGGGAGGGUCCUGAUUUGGGUGCUCUCAGUGCCCUCUGGUGGUGGAGGACAAAUGUUCCAGGGGCAGGGAAGGAGAGCGUGUGAAGACUUUGGGGAAGGCGGAGGAGGAGCCAGCGGCGCAGGCCUCCGAGUGCCCGGGGCAGCAGUUUAAGUCGUGGAUCUCCUUGUGCCCUCCAGACAUCUUCACCGGCCUUCGGGAGUAGGCACUGCUCAGGAGUGUGAAGGGGGGCGCUGUGCUCAUCUGUGGAUCGAUCAGUGGAUGCGGUCAGAGCCCGGUGUAGUGUCAGGAGGCCCUUCCACCGCACCCUUCCUGCCUUCGAGCCAACUGAUCAUGGACUGGAACCUGUAGAAAUCUGAUCCUCCAGACCUUCAGGCUCCGUCCGCCGCUGGAUCCCUGCGCACACGGGUGACCAUUUCGGCAUCCUCCUCCUCGCAUGGCCGCUGGGACUCUUCCGGUUUGAUCCCGACAGCCUGCCUCACAAAUCCCGUCUCUAAGCACGCACGUUUUCUGUCGAAUCUGUUCCUCUGGAGAACCCCUAACUCAUACAGAUGUUCGUGUAUGUGUGCGUAUUUGCUCAGGUGGGUCUAAGUAUAUUCUGUCAUGUGUGCCCACUUGCAUGUAAACAUGUAUUUUAAUAUGUCUUUCACGUGCAUGUUUCAUAUGAACACACGUGUGUCCCCAGUGUCCCUCUGUGUGUACCCACGUGGGUUAUUCUGCGGGCAUCAACGUGAGGCGCCCACAUGCUGAGCUGGGCACCAGGGCUCUCUGGACCCCCACUCCUCAGAGCAGCUUGACCAACCUGGCCUCCGCUCUCUGCUCCUGGCUUAGACUCUGAGCCUCUCCGCUCCCCUCAUCACCCCAAGCCAAAUGCACCUUCAGGGAAGCAAGUUGCAGAGCAGAAGUCCCUCCCUGACCCUUCCCACCCUCCUGCAGCCCCUAGCCAGGGAUUCAGAGCUGGAGAACAGGAAUGGUCUUUUUAGAGAGGGCCCCGGCUCCCAGGUGUGCAGGAGCUGGGACCACAAUAACCCGACAGACUCCACCGGCCAGAAUGAGCUCCAAGAAGUCACCAGCAAGGUUCAGACAGAGGCCCAGCAAUAGCACGACAGUCCUCCCUUAUCUGCCACUUCACUUCCUGUGGUUGGAGUCGCCUGUGGUCAGCCAAGGUCUGAGAAUGUCUGAUAGGUAAUUCCAGAAAUAAAUAACGUACAAGUUUUAACGUUCACUUAGAAAUUUUACUCCUGUAUAUUAUUAUCAUUCUUCUAUUCUAUUGUCAGUUAUUACUGUGAAUCACUUCAUGUGCAGAAUUUGUGCACUGUAUUUAUUAUUGCGGUUUAGGCUGAGAAUGUUCCCCCAGGCCCUUGUGUUUUUGGAUGGCGAAUGGAUCAAGAGGCUGCUUUGCUGAAUUGCUGAGUGCACUGUUGGAAGGUGGGGCCUGGUUACAGGCAGUCCCUGGGGUUGUGACCCGGAAGUGUUUAUCUCCCUCCUGGGCUCCUGCCUCUAGCUCUACUUCCUGGCCGCCAUGAUGUGAGCAGCUUUCCUCUGCUAUGCCUCUCUGCCAGGCUGUUUCUGCCCUGGAGCCAGCCAACCAUGGACUGUAACCAUGAGCCAAAACAAUCUCUCUCCUCCUUUAAGUUGUGGGUGGCAGGUGUUGUAUCUCUCAGCAAUGAGAAAGUGACUGAGACAUGUAUGUACAGUGUGAUAGGAAAAAUGUGGUAUAUAUGGGGGUUGGUACUAUCCACCGGGUGUCUUGGAAUGUGGCCCCUGUGAAUCAGGGGGACCCUGCAGCAAAAAUGGACACAAUCCAUUCACAGCAGGGUCUCCUUUGAUGGCAACCCGGCAGGUCAUGAGACAGGAAUCCCUAGCACCACCAGAGGGGUGGUGUCACUGCGGUCCCAUUUCAGAGUUUGGGAGAAUCAGGGAGGUAAGGUUUGAACCCAGUCUGAGUAGCUCUAAACCAGUGGUUUGCAACAGGGCAUGGUUUCCCUCUAGGGGACAUUUACCAAAGUGGGGAAAUUUUGUUUUCUGCUUGUCACACCUGCGGGGGCAGGGAUGCCCCUGGCAUCUAGAGGGUGAGACCAGGGAGGCUGCUCGAUUUCCUAAAGGGUCACAUCAGCUCUGCCUGACAGAGGUGUCCUUCUGUAAUGGACACGAGUGCUGAGGGUGAGAACAGCUUCUAGAGGGGCAUCAGACAAAACCCAGAAGAAAUAGCUGAGUUUAGGCAUUCAAAAGUUUCAGGUGCAAAAGACUGGACAGAUGCUUCAUGAAAAGGGACAGAUGGAUAGAUGUUGAGCAACAGCCCAUCCUCGGGAAAAUGGAAUGGAGAACCAUCACGUGAUACCCUCCACACACCCACCAGAAUGGCUGAAGCCAGGCA